GUAGCCGAUUUUUGCCGCCACCCUUUGUCCACCUCCCUUUACCUCUUUUUCAGAAGAGGCUUAUUGGUCCACGACUUUCCGAUUAAGGGGUCGCUGGAAAGGUGGUGAACAGAAAAAGAUUCUACAGACAGGGUUUCUCUGUGGAAAGAAGGCUCUCUUGCUCUCUUGCUUGGUGGGAAGGCAUCUUCCUGGAACCAAUGGUCGUAAUAUCAAGGUAGGAAUAAUCAAGGUGACACAGAAAUGAACUCCUGAAUUCUGGAGGGGGACUGCAACCAGCAAUGCUCACAUCAGACAUGCAGAAUCAUGGCAGGGAAUCCACAUGGGAAUUUGAAAUUACAUGUACACAGAAGCUGUUAGAACUGAAAUUGAAGUCCAAGGGAAACUCCCUGCUGCACGAGGUCCGGCCGCAAAACUAGGGCAGGAAAAUACUUUGAGUGACCUAUUUUACCAGAAACCAGAAUAAGGGAUCCAAACAGCACAGACAUAGGACAGAGCUGGGAGUGGGACAGUGGGGCAGGAGUAAACCAGUAAACACGAAGCAGGCCACAGACCAGACCCCUCCAGGCCAGGGCUUCUUCCUCUCCAUCUGCCUCUGAUCACUAAUCUGGGAUGUCUUGAAAAACUAGAGGACUGCGACAAGUGUGGGGACUUGUUUAUAAUCCUAGCACUGGGCAGCUGAGGCAGGAGGACUACCAUGAGCCAGAGACUUACCUGCAAUGCAGAGCGAGUUCCAGGUAGACCUAGCCUAGAGUGAGACACAACCUGAAAUUGGGGUAGGGUAGAAUCUGUAAAGAAACUCCUGGAAACCGGGAAUUGGUGGCGCACACCUUUAAUUCCUGUACUCGGGAGGCAGAGUCAGGAGGAUCUCUGUGAGGAUCUACAGAGAGAGUUCCAGGACAGCAGCCUCCAAAACAAUACAAAGAAACCCUGUCUCGGAAAAAAAAAAGAAAGAAAGAAAGAAAAAAGAGAAAGAAACUCCUGGAACCAGAGCUUAUCUGGGAAGCCCAGACUUAAGGGGUUUCAAGUCAUUGCCAAGUGGGUAUCCUUCCCCUUCAGCCACUGUAGGGGAAACAGAGAUAACCAGGGACGUGGAUUUAUAUAUCUGACUGUGACACAAGAGGCCAGAUCAAGGGGCGUCAAGACUGGGUUGGGCUUUUUUUUCCCAAUUUAUUUUUUGUGUAUGGUUGUUUUGCCUGCAUGUGUGUCUGUGUGUGAUUUGUGUGCCUAGAGCUCUUGGAGCCAGAAGAUGGCCUCAGAUCCCAUGGGACUGGAGUUACAGAUGGUUGUGAGCCACGAUGUGAGUGCUAGGAAUUGAACCUGAGUUCUCUUAACUGCUGAACCAUCCCUUAAGCUCCAUGUAUGAAUGCUUUUGUCUACAUGUAUAUAUGUGUACCAUGUGAUUGCCUGGUACCUUCAGAAGUCAAAAGAGGGCAUUGGAUCCCCUGGAACUGCAGUUAUGGAUGAUUGUAGACCACUGUGUGGGUGCUGGGAUCUGAACCUGGAUCCUCUGAAAGAGCUGCUAGCGAUGGUCUCUGCUGAGCCCCUGAAGGGUGCCAGGCAUAGGGCAUUCUUUCUGAACCACUCUGAAAAUUAACAAGGCUCUCUGGUUUUUCUGAGAGCCUUGAAGAUAUUGGUAAUAGCAAAUAUUUGGUGACACAUGCCUUUAGUCCCAGCACUUGGGAGGCAGAAGUGGGUGGAUCUCUGAGUUUGAAGCCACCUUGAUCUACAGAGAAAGUUCCAAGACAGCCAAGGUUACACAGAGAAACCCUGACUCAAAAAAGAACAAAAAACAAUAAAUAAUAAAUGGAAAUGUUGGGAAUGGAUGAAAAGGAAUGUUCUUUAAAGAGAACUCAAAAGCAUCACUUUCCAAUAAAAUAGAAUAUUUUAAAAA
Molecule: long non-coding RNA, 1891 nt
Organism: Mesocricetus auratus (golden hamster)
Lineage: Eukaryota; Metazoa; Chordata; Mammalia; Rodentia; Cricetidae
Exons: 2
Source: RefSeq, a predicted model, not a curated record